CAAGCGGUAGUUUUAACUCAGAAUUUUGGCCUUGGGUGUCAGUAGUGGGAGUGUGAAUCUCUCUCGUUUGA
RNAcentral lists this transfer RNA (71 nucleotides) under Gyrinophilus palleucus (Tennessee cave salamander). RNAcentral's name for it is "tRNA-Pro". It matches the Rfam family "tRNA". From Rfam's summary of the family: Transfer RNA (tRNA) molecules are approximately 80 nucleotides in length. Their secondary structure includes four short double-helical elements and three loops (D, anti-codon, and T loops). Further hydrogen bonds mediate the characteristic L-shaped molecular structure. tRNAs have two regions of fundamental functional importance: the anti-codon, which is responsible for specific mRNA codon recognition, and the 3' end, to which the tRNAs corresponding amino acid is attached (by aminoacyl-tRNA synthetases). tRNAs cope with the degeneracy of the genetic code in two manners: having more than one tRNA (with a specific anti-codon) for a particular amino acid; and 'wobble' base-pairing, i.e. permitting non-standard base-pairing at the 3rd anti-codon position. The record is from RNAcentral. Lineage: Eukaryota; Metazoa; Chordata; Amphibia; Caudata; Plethodontidae.